UGGGGAAUAUUGGACAAUGGGCGCAAGCCUGAUCCAGCCAUGCCGCGUGUCUGAAGAAGGCCUUCGGGUUGUAAAGGACUUUUGUCAGGGAAGAAAAGGGCGGGGUUAAUACCCCUGUCUGAUGACGGUACCUGAAGAAUAAGCACCGGCUAACUACGUGCCAGCAGCCGCGGUAAUACGUAGGGUGCGAGCGUUAAUCGGAAUUACUGGGCGUAAAGCGGGCGCAGACGGUUACUUAAGCAGGAUGUGAAAUCCCCGGGCUCAACCUGGGAACUGCGUUCUGAACUGGGUGACUAGAGUGUGUCAGAGGGAGGUAGAAUUCCACGUGUAGCAGUGAAAUGCGUAGAGAUGUGGAGGAAUACCGAUGGCGAAGGCAGCCUCCUGGGAUAACACUGACGUUCAUGCCCGAAAGCGUGGGUAGCAAACA
Molecule: ribosomal RNA, 427 nt
Filed under: uncultured bacterium
Lineage: Bacteria
Description: partial 16S ribosomal RNA
Rfam family: Bacterial small subunit ribosomal RNA
Source: RNAcentral